UACGGAGGGGGCCAGCGUUGUUCGGAAUCACUGGGCGUAAAGGGCGCGUAGGUGGUGGCUUAAGCGUGCGGUGAAAGCUCGGAGCUCAACUCCGAGUCGGCCGUGCGAACUGGGCUCACUGGAGCAUAGUAGAGGCAGGUGGAAUUCCGGGUGUAGCGGUGGAAUGCGUAGAGAUCCGGAAGAACACCGGUGGCGAAGGCGGCCUGCUGGGCUAUGGCUGACACUGAGGCGCGACAGCGUGGGGAGCAAACAGG
This 254-nucleotide ribosomal RNA is filed under the name uncultured bacterium. RNAcentral describes it as "partial 16S ribosomal RNA". It matches the Rfam family "Bacterial small subunit ribosomal RNA", at positions 524 to 776 of the family's 1533-position model. The record is from RNAcentral.